Molecule: long non-coding RNA, 1079 nt
Filed under: Anser cygnoides (Swan goose)
Lineage: Eukaryota; Metazoa; Chordata; Aves; Anseriformes; Anatidae
Description: lncRNA (ENSACDG00005010593.1)
Source: RNAcentral
GCUUAAUACAUCUCAUGAUCUCUCUGAAAGUUCUUCUCCAUGGUGUUUUGUGACCGUGUCCAUAUAAACAGCAGAGCAACAAUAACACAACCAAAGGGUAGAACACAUGUGUAAUGCACAAAUUAAGACAAUGACAUUGAAGAGCCCUCAAGUUCUCGAAAAUAUAUCUCUCUGAGCAAGUAUGAGAAGACUAGCUUGCAUGCAACAAGCUACUGGGCUGUAUUCUGACCUUUUUAACACUGGUUUAAAUUUGGAGUGAUUUAAUUUACUUUACUCCAGCACAGCCGACAUCAGGAACUGUCCGUAUAAUCAAUACAGUAGGCAUAUUGACCUAAACCUUCUGGAAAUAAAUAAAUACUGUCACGAACAGUCCUCUCUCAGGGAAACAGACAGAAACACCUGACUUUAAACAGACUUUUAGAAAACACAUCUCUUAUGAAAUCUCUUGGGAGAAGGAGUUCUUUCAGCCUCCCAGGGCAUAGCAAGCAAAGCAAGAAAGCAAAGAUGAGCAAGUAACAUUUGGUAUCUUCCUGUUGUCCUGCUUAUCAAUCCGGACCACACAGCAGCAGCUUUUGGUCACAUCUAUUUGAAACCUGGGAAAACAGUUGUCAGAAGAUGAGUCAAAGGAUGUUUUCUCCCUAUUUAGAAAACACUAGACCAUGAAAAGAUAUAUUAGCAUAAAUUUUAUAAUUCUAUUUAUUAAUUUUUCAAAUUGUGUUUGAGAGGAUCUGAAGGCCAGGCACAAGAGGAAUGUUACUCUGCGUGAACUAAGCCACCUUUUCCAUGGAGUCAGGAUGGUUAUCGACCUUCAGCUGAUGUGAGAUAAGUAGCAAAGCUGUAAGGGUUUGACUGAAUGUUUGCGCUCCAAGUUCUAACUUGUGUCUGGCUUAUACCUGUGUAGCUUCUCAGUGUGUUCUCCCAGUUCUGUCAGAGUUUUUCAUGAGUGGGAAAUAAUUUCUUCACUUGUGACGGAUGUUUGAGCUAAAAAAUAUUUGCAAGGUGCUGGGAACAGGUAAUUCACUGUGGCAUAAGCUAAUGACCCAGACCUAACCUGGCACUUUCUUUUUGCUGGUUAAGUU